GACGAACGCUGGCGGCGUGCUUAACACAUGCAAGUCGAACGGGGCUCAUCGCUUCGGUGGUGGGUCUAGUGGCGAACGGGUGAGUAACACGUGGGCAACCUGCCCCCGGCUCUGGGAUAACUCCAAGAAAUUGAGGCUAAUACCGGAUGUGACCGCUGGCCGCAUGGUCUGGUGGUGGAAAGGGUUUCCGGCUGGGGAUGGGCCCGCGGCCUAUCAGCUUGUUGGUGGGGUAGUGGCCUACCAAGGCGACGACGGGUAGCCGGCCUGAGAGGGUGACCGGCCACACUGGGACUGAGACACGGCCCAGACUCCGACGGGAGGCAGCAGUGGGGAAUAGUGCGCAAGGGGCGGAGGCCUGGCGCAGCGACGCCGCGUGGGGGAUGACGGCCUUCGGGUUGUAAACCUCUUUCAGCGGGGACGAAGCCGCGAGGUGACGGUACCUGCAGAAGAAGCACCGGCCAACUACGUGCCAGCAGCCGCCGUAA
Molecule: ribosomal RNA, 485 nt
Filed under: uncultured bacterium
Lineage: Bacteria
Description: partial 16S ribosomal RNA
Rfam family: Bacterial small subunit ribosomal RNA
Source: RNAcentral